Molecule: long non-coding RNA, 267 nt
Filed under: Gossypium barbadense (sea-island cotton)
Lineage: Eukaryota; Viridiplantae; Streptophyta; Magnoliopsida; Malvales; Malvaceae
Description: long non-coding RNA (GBAR_LNC001152)
Source: RNAcentral
UACAAUACUUUGUUUGGCUUUUUAUAGCCAUUUUUUACAAUGUCUGUUUCCCUAGAUUUUGCUGUUUGCGUGUUUUCUUUGUCUUGCAGGGUAUGGCCGGUGGCAGAGGGCAGGUGACCGGUGCUGGUGGCGGUUGGUGGCCUUGGCAGAGGCAAGUGGGGAGGGUGGUUGCGGCGCUGCUUUAGGGGCUAGGGUUAGGGUUGGAUAUUUUUUGUUUCUGAUUUGUGUAAUGGGUCUUGGGUGUUGGGUUUAGUUAUUGGGUUUAAG